RNAcentral lists this ribosomal RNA (276 nucleotides) under Triticum aestivum (bread wheat). RNAcentral's name for it is "partial small subunit ribosomal RNA". The record is from RNAcentral. Lineage: Eukaryota; Viridiplantae; Streptophyta; Magnoliopsida; Poales; Poaceae.
AUGAAAAAAGCACAAGAGAAGCUAGGAGCAUUGCUGGGGCGAAACCCUGGCUUGUCCAAAGAUUUCAACAACUGUGUUGACUUCAACUUGACGCCGGAAGAAUUUGAGGCAGGGUGGUGUGAGCUGAUGAUGAAGUACGAGGCUAUGACUAACUCCCACUUCGAGAAUCUAUACAAAUACCGAGAAACAUGGGUACCCUGUUACUUUAAGCACCAAUUCUUCCCUUUCUUACAGUCAACUCAACACAGUGAGGGGUUCAACGCUGUCCUUAAGUGA